CUCUGACUAUAAAUUCAAUUUUUUUUUGGCUCCUUGACUGUCCAUUUUGUCAACUCUGGCCACGAAUCUUAAGUGUCAAGAACAGCUAUUAGAACAAGAUGGUGCAUCACUGUUAUAAUUCCAGGUAAGAUGAUUCAAGUUGUCUAUUGUGAUGCCCACAGAAAACAUUCUGAUGUGAUGGAGAAGCUGCAAGGAUCACUUUUCUUCCUCCAUCUCAAAUGGAAUGAAAAGAGUAUGUUCGGGACUGAGACCCAGAUCUUUGAUCCCCAGCCUUGGACUACUGAUGAUCAUUUACCCACAGAGAUUUCUGUUUCCUGCAUUAUAUCAAUAAUGGCUCUUCUUUCUGGGAUACAGAGUCACAGAAUCAGUCAAACCCUGACAUAUGUUGUUUUAUGUGUCUAUACAUCUAGGAGCCCCAAGUGAGAGGAAACAUGCAACAUUUAUCUUUAUGAGUUGCAUUUAUUUGUCUAAUAUGGCUAUCUUUGGUUGUGCCAAUUUGCUUACAAAUCACAUAACUUCAUUUUUUUUCUCUUGG
RNAcentral lists this long non-coding RNA (535 nucleotides) under Mus spicilegus (steppe mouse). RNAcentral's name for it is "lncRNA (ENSMSIG00000025478.1)". The record is from RNAcentral. Lineage: Eukaryota; Metazoa; Chordata; Mammalia; Rodentia; Muridae.